UACGGAGGGGACUAGCGUUGUUCGGAAUUACUGGGCGUAAAGCGCACGUAGGCGGAUUGUUUAGUCAGGGGUGAAAUCCCGAGGCUCAACCUCGGAACUGCCUUUGAUACUGGCAAUCUCGAGUCCGGAAGAGGUGAGUGGAAUUCCUAGUGUAGAGGUGAAAUUCGUAGAUAUUAGGAAGAACACCAGUGGCGAAGGCGGCUCACUGGUCCGGUACUGACGCUGAGGUGCGAAAGCGUGGGGAGCGAACGA
Molecule: ribosomal RNA, 252 nt
Filed under: uncultured bacterium
Lineage: Bacteria
Description: partial 16S ribosomal RNA
Rfam family: Bacterial small subunit ribosomal RNA
Source: RNAcentral